This 497-nucleotide ribosomal RNA is filed under the name uncultured bacterium. Its description in RNAcentral is "partial 16S ribosomal RNA". It matches the Rfam family "Bacterial small subunit ribosomal RNA", at positions 28 to 507 of the family's 1533-position model. The record is from RNAcentral.
GAUGAACGCUGGCGGCGUGCCUAAUACAUGCAAGUCGAGCGAACGGACGAGAAGCUUGCUUUUCUGAUGUUAGCGGCGGACGGGUGAGUAACACGUGGAUAACCUACCUAUAAGACUGGGAUAACUUCGGGAAACCGGAGCUAAUACCGGAUAAUAUUUUGAACCGCAUGGUUCAAAAGUGAAAGACGGUCUUGCUGUCACUUAUAGAUGGAUCCGCACUGCAUUAGCUAGUUGGCAAGGUAACGGCUUACCAAGGCAACGAUGCAUAGCCGACCUGAGAGGGUGAUCGGCCACACUGGAACUGAGACACGGUCCAGACUCCUACGGGAGGCAGCAGUAGGGAAUCUUCCGCAAUGGGCGAAAGCCUGACGGAGCAACGCCGCGUGAGUGAUGAAGGUCUUCGGAUCGUAAAACUCUGUUAUUAGGGAAGAACAUAUGUGUAAGUAACUGUGCACAUCUUGACGGUACCUAAUCAGAAAGCCACGGCUAACUACGUG